GGAUCCAGACUUUGAUUAUGGCUCAGGAUGAACGCUAGCUACAGGCUUAACACAUGCAAGUCGAGGGGCAGCGGGAUUGAAGCUUGCUUCAAUUGCCGGCGACCGGCGCACGGGUGAGUAACGCGUAUCCAACCUUCCGUACACUCAGGGAUAGCCUUUCGAAAGAAAGAUUAAUACCUGAUGGUAUGAUGAGAUUGCAUGAUAGCAUCAUUAAAGAUUUAUCGGUGUACGAUGGGGAUGCGUUCCAUUAGGUAGUAGGCGGGGUAACGGCCCACCUAGCCGACGAUGGAUAGGGGUUCUGAGAGGAAGGUCCCCCACAUUGGAACUGAGACACGGUCCAAACUCCUACGGGAGGCAGCAGUGAGGAAUAUUGGUCAAUGGACGAGAGUCUGAACCAGCCAAGUAGCGUGAAGGAUGAAGGUCCUACGGAUUGUAAACUUCUUUUAUAAGGGAAUAAACCCUUCCACGUGUGGGAGCUUGUAUGUACCUUAUGAAUAAGCAUCGGCUAACUCCGUGCCAGCAGCCGCGGUAAUACGGAGGAUGCGAGCGUUAUCCGGAUUUAUUGGGUUUAAAGGGAGCGCAGACGGGUCGUUAAGUCAGCUGUGAAAGUUUGGGGCUCAACCUUAAAAUUGCAGUUGAUACUGGCGUCCUUGAGUGCGGUUGAGGUGUGCGGAAUUCGUGGUGUAGCGGUGAAAUGCUUAGAUAUCACGAAGAACUCCGAUUGCGAAGGCAGCACACUAAGCCGUAACUGACGUUCAUGCUCGAAAGUGUGGGUAUCAAACAGGAUUAGAUACCCUGGUAGUCCACACGGUAAACGAUGGAUACUCGCUGUUGGCGAUAUACUGUCAGCGGCUUAGCGAAAGCGUUAAGUAUCCCACCUGGGGAGUACGCCG
Molecule: ribosomal RNA, 893 nt
Filed under: uncultured bacterium
Lineage: Bacteria
Also listed under: 1 other name
Description: bacterial SSU rRNA
Rfam family: Bacterial small subunit ribosomal RNA
Source: RNAcentral